AGAGCGAACGCUGGCGGCAGGCUUAACACAUGCAAGUCGAGCGGGCGUAGCAAUACGUCAGCGGCAGACGGGUGAGUAACGCGUGGGAACGUACCUUUUGGUUCGGAACAACCCAGGGAAACUUGGGCUAAUACCGGAUAAGCCCUUACGGGGAAAGAUUUAUCGCCGAAAGAUCGGCCCGCGUCUGAUUAGCUAGUUGGUGGGGUAAUGGCCCACCAAGGCGACGAUCAGUAGCUGGUCUGAGAGGAUGAUCAGCCACAUUGGGACUGAGACACGGCCCAAACUCCUACGGGAGGCAGCAGUGGGGAAUAUUGGACAAUGGGCGCAAGCCUGAUCCAGCCAUGCCGCGUGAGUGAUGAAGGCCCUAGGGUUGUAAAGGCUACUUUUGUCAGGGAAGAACGGUGAGGGCUAAUAUCCUUUGCUAAUGACGGUACCUGAAGAAUAAGCACCGGCUAACUACGCGCCAGCAGCCGCGGUAA
This 479-nucleotide ribosomal RNA is filed under the name uncultured bacterium. Its description in RNAcentral is "SSU rRNA". It matches the Rfam family "Bacterial small subunit ribosomal RNA", at positions 26 to 523 of the family's 1533-position model. The record is from RNAcentral.